CACGCCGUAAACGAUGAGUGCUAGGUGUCGGAGUCGACAGACUUCGGUGCCGCAGCUAACGCAUUAAGCACUCCGCCUGGGGAGUACGUUCGCAAGAAUGAAACUCAAAGGAAUUGACGGGGACCCGCACAAGCAGCGGAGCAUGUGGUUUAAUUCGAAGCAACGCGAAGAACCUUACCAGAACUUGACAUCCCUCUGAUCGAGACUUAAUCGUCUUUUUCCUUCGGGACAGAGGAGACAGGUGG
Molecule: ribosomal RNA, 245 nt
Filed under: uncultured Eubacteriales bacterium
Lineage: Bacteria; Bacillati; Bacillota; Clostridia; Eubacteriales
Description: uncultured Clostridiales bacterium partial 16S ribosomal RNA
Rfam family: Bacterial small subunit ribosomal RNA
Source: RNAcentral